AGGCAGUUCACUUAACAUUGCAUCUGAUAGCACUCGUGGCUGGAGUUGUGGGGGUCUAUGCAGCUUUUAAGUUUAAGCAUGAGAUUGAAGAUAAAGAUAUGGUUACCUUACAUUCCUGGCUAGGCAUUAUUACCAUCUGCCUAUUUGGUCUACAGGUAAUUAAUUUUCUAUGCACUUUAAUGUGUUCAAAAUCUUAAUUGAUAUUUGAUUUAAGAAACAGAUUAACCAAAUCUUGUAUG
Molecule: unclassified non-coding RNA, 239 nt
Filed under: Hevea brasiliensis (rubber tree)
Lineage: Eukaryota; Viridiplantae; Streptophyta; Magnoliopsida; Malpighiales; Euphorbiaceae
Source: RNAcentral